ACCUACGUUCUAUGUUACUCUUCUGUCUU
This 29-nucleotide small RNA is filed under the name Arabidopsis thaliana (thale cress). RNAcentral's name for it is "ATSL028540". Lineage: Eukaryota; Viridiplantae; Streptophyta; Magnoliopsida; Brassicales; Brassicaceae. The record is from RNAcentral.